Molecule: ribosomal RNA, 470 nt
Filed under: uncultured bacterium
Lineage: Bacteria
Description: partial 16S ribosomal RNA
Rfam family: Bacterial small subunit ribosomal RNA
Source: RNAcentral
GACGAACGCUGGCGGCGUGCUUAACACAUGCAAGUCGAACGGUGAACGAGGGAGCUUGCUCCCUCCGGAUCAGUGGCGAACGGGUGAGUAACACGUGAGCAAUCUGCCCCGAACUCUGGGAUAAGCGUUGGAAACGACGUCUAAUACCGGAUACGACGCGGGAGGGCAUCCUCUCCGCGUGGAAAGAACUUCGGUUCGGGAUGAGCUCGCGGCCUAUCAGCCUGUUGGUGAGGUAACGGCUCACCAAGGCGACGACGGGUAGCCGGCCUGAGAGGGUGACCGGCCACACUGGGACUGAGACACGGCCCAGACUCCUACGGGAGGCAGCAGUGGGGAAUAUUGCACAAUGGGCGCAAGCCUGAUGCAGCAACGCCGCGUGAGGGACGACGGCCUUCGGGUUGUAAACCUCUUUUAGCAGGGAAGAAGCGAAAGUGACGGUACCUGCAGAAAAAGCACCGGCUAACUACGUG